RNAcentral lists this non-coding RNA (29 nucleotides) under Mus musculus (house mouse). The record is from RNAcentral. Lineage: Eukaryota; Metazoa; Chordata; Mammalia; Rodentia; Muridae.
CUGAAGGUCAGAAGCUUGGGACGUUGUGU